GACGAACGCUGGCGGCGUGCCUAACACAUGCAAGUCGAACGGAAAGGCCCUGCUUUUGUGGGGUGCUCGAGUGGCGAACGGGUGAGUAACACGUGAGUAACCUGCCCCUGACUGUGGGAUAACUUCAGGAAACUGGGGCUCAUACCGCAUAGGAUCUCUUGCUGCAUGGUGGGCAUUGGAAAGUUUCGGCGGUUGGGGAUGGACUCGCGGCUUAUCGGCUUGUUGGGGGGGUAGUGUCUUACCAAGGUUUUGACGGGUAGCAGUCCUGGGAGGGGAGCCGGACACGCUGGGACUGAGAUACGGCACAGACUACAACGGGAGGCAGCGGUGGAGAGUGUUACACAGUGGGAGGGAGGAUGAUGUAACAACGCAGCGUGCGGGAAGACAGGAUUGGGGUAGUGAACUGAUGUUGUCUUAGACGAAGUGAGAGUGACGGUACCGGGUAAAGAAGCACCGGCUAACUACGUG
RNAcentral lists this ribosomal RNA (468 nucleotides) under uncultured bacterium. Its description in RNAcentral is "partial 16S ribosomal RNA". It matches the Rfam family "Bacterial small subunit ribosomal RNA", at positions 28 to 507 of the family's 1533-position model. The record is from RNAcentral.